CAGACUCUACGGGAGGCAGCAGUGGGGAAUAUUGCACAAUGGGCGCAAGCUGAUGCAGCCAUGCCGCGUGUGUGAAGAAGGCCUUCGGGUUGUAAAGCACUUUCAGCAGUGAGGAAGGCGGGUACGUUAAUAGCGUAUUCGUUUGACGUUAGCUGCAGAAGAAGCACCGGCUAACUCCGUGCCAGCAGCCGCGGUAAUACGGAGGGUGCGAGCGUUAAUCGGAAUUACUGGGCGUAAAGCGCAUGCAGGUGGUUCGUUAAGUCAGAUGUGAAAGCCCGGGGCUCAACCUCGGAACUGCAUUUGAAACUGGCGGACUAGAGUACUGUAGAGGGGGGUAGAAUUUCAGGUGUAGCGGUGAAAUGCGUAGAGAUCUGAAGGAAUACCGGUGGCGAAGGCGGCCCCCUGGACAGAUACUGACACUCAGAUGCGAAAGCGUGGGGAGCAAACAGGAUUAGAUACCCUGGUAGUCCACGCCGUAAACGAUGUCUACUUGGAGGUUGUGGCCUUGAGCCGUGGCUUUCGGAGCUAACGCGUUAAGUAGACCGCCUGGGGAGUACGGUCGCAAGAUUAAAACUCAAAUGAAUUGACGGGGGCCCGCACAAGCGGUGGAGCAUGUGGUUUAAUUCGAUGCAACGCGAAGAACCUUACCUACUCUUGACAUCCAGAGAAGCCAGCGGAGACGCAGGUGUGCCUUCGGGAGCUCUGAGACAGGUGCUGCAUGGCUGUCGUCAGCUCGUGUUGUGAAAUGUUGGGUUAAGUCCCGCAACGAGCGCAACCCUUAUCCUUGUUUGCCAGCGAGUAAUGUCGGGAACU
This 813-nucleotide ribosomal RNA is filed under the name Vibrio mediterranei. Its description in RNAcentral is "bacterial SSU rRNA". It matches the Rfam family "Bacterial small subunit ribosomal RNA", at positions 332 to 1139 of the family's 1533-position model. The record is from RNAcentral. Lineage: Bacteria; Pseudomonadati; Pseudomonadota; Gammaproteobacteria; Vibrionales; Vibrionaceae.